RNAcentral lists this ribosomal RNA (247 nucleotides) under Acinetobacter baumannii. RNAcentral's name for it is "partial 23S ribosomal RNA". It matches the Rfam family "Bacterial large subunit ribosomal RNA", at positions 1 to 241 of the family's 2925-position model. The record is from RNAcentral. Lineage: Bacteria; Pseudomonadati; Pseudomonadota; Gammaproteobacteria; Moraxellales; Moraxellaceae.
GUUGUAUAGUCAAGUAAUUAAGUGCAUGUGGUGGAUGCCUUGGCAGUCAGAGGCGAUGAAAGACGUGAUAGCCUGCGAAAAGCUCCGGGGAGGCGGCAAAUAUCCUUUGAUCCGGAGAUUUCUGAAUGGGGGAACCCACCUACUUUAAGGUAGGUAUUGCAACAUGAAUACAUAGUGUUGCAAGGCGAACGAGGGGAAGUGAAACAUCUCAGUACCCUUAGGAAAAGAAAUCAAUUGAGAUUCCCUC